GAGUGUUUGUAGAGUUUUGGUUUGUAGAAAGGAAAAAAAAAACAAUAUAUAAAGAAGGAUGAAAAGAGGGAGGUAAAACGAAUUCAUUAAGAGGGUUUUGAUCGAGGGGAGUAAAGUUGAGAAUUGAUUGUUUAGAAGUGGGUUGAUUAAAUCUGAGUUUCUGUGAUCUUCAAUCAGAGAAGACGAAGUGUUAGAGGUCACGAUGAUUGAUUUAUUGAUCGUAGGUU
Molecule: long non-coding RNA, 227 nt
Filed under: Brassica napus (rape)
Lineage: Eukaryota; Viridiplantae; Streptophyta; Magnoliopsida; Brassicales; Brassicaceae
Description: long non-coding RNA (BNAP_LNC003072)
Source: RNAcentral